RNAcentral lists this unclassified non-coding RNA (428 nucleotides) under uncultured Tricholomataceae. Its description in RNAcentral is "sequence contains ITS2". The stretch from base 1 to 154 matches the Rfam family "5.8S ribosomal RNA". The record is from RNAcentral. Lineage: Eukaryota; Fungi; Basidiomycota; Agaricomycetes; Agaricales; Tricholomataceae.
AACUUUCAGCAACGGAUCUCUUGGCUCUCCCAUCGAUGAAGAACGCAGCGAAAUGCGAUAAGUAAUGUGAAUUGCAGAAUUCAGUGAAUCACCGAAUCUUUGAACGCACCUUGCGCCCUUUGGUAUUCCGAAGGGCAUGCCUGUUUGAGGGUCAUUAAAUUCUCAACCUUGAAAGGCUUGUCUUUUCAAUGGUUUGGAUGUGAGGGUUUUGCUGGCUUCCUUCAGUGGAUGGUCUGCUCCCUUUAAAAGCAUUAGUGGGAUCCUUUGUGGACGGUCACUUGGUGUGAUAAUUAUCUACGCCGUUUGCACUGUGAAGCAAAUCUUGUGGGAACCUGCUUAUAACCGUCUGUAAUGGACAAUUUUGAACCUUUGACCUCAAAUCAGGUAGGACUACCCGCUGAACUUAAGCAUAUCAAUAAGCGGAGGCU